Molecule: ribosomal RNA, 507 nt
Filed under: fungal endophyte sp. D2-3A9-1
Lineage: Eukaryota; Fungi
Description: eukaryotic LSU rRNA
Rfam family: 5.8S ribosomal RNA (bases 183-336)
Source: RNAcentral
AACAAGGUUUCCGUAGGUGAACCUGCGGAAGGAUCAUUAUCGUUGGGCUUCGGCCCAUUCGAGAUAACACCCUUGCCUUUUUGAGUACCUUUUCGUUUCCUCGGCAGGCUCGCCUGCCAACGGGGACCCUUCAAAACGCUUUGUAAUACCUGUAAUUGUCUGAUAUAACAAGCAAAAAUCAAAACUUUCAACAACGGAUCUCUUGGUUCUGGCAUCGAUGAAGAACGCAGCGAAAUGCGAUAAGUAGUGUGAAUUGCAGAAUUCAGUGAAUCAUCGAAUCUUUGAACGCACAUUGCGCCCUUUGGUAUUCCUUAGGGCAUGCCUGUUCGAGCGUCAUUUAAACCUUCAAGCUCAGCUUGGUGAUGGGUGACUGUCCUCCCCUCGCGGGGGGACUCGCCUCAAAAACAUUGGCGGCCGGUACAUUGGCUUCGAGCGCAGCAGAAACGCGGUCUCGAGCCCGGUGGAUCGGCUCCCAUAAGUGCUAUUCUUUUAUUUUGACCUCGGAUC